Ribosomal RNA from Cavia aperea (Brazilian guinea pig), 85 nucleotides. The record is from Ensembl. Lineage: Eukaryota; Metazoa; Chordata; Mammalia; Rodentia; Caviidae.
AUCAAUGGCCCACCCUGAAUGUGCUUGGUCUUGUCUGAUUUUAGAAGUUAAACAGGGUCAGGCCUAGGAUAGGAGACUAUUGGCA